Molecule: ribosomal RNA, 757 nt
Filed under: Salmonella enterica subsp. enterica serovar Infantis
Lineage: Bacteria; Pseudomonadati; Pseudomonadota; Gammaproteobacteria; Enterobacterales; Enterobacteriaceae
Description: partial 23S ribosomal RNA
Rfam family: Bacterial large subunit ribosomal RNA
Source: RNAcentral
CCGACCUUGAAAUACCACCCUUUAAUGUUUGAUGUUCUAACGUGGAUCCGUAAUCCGGGUUGCGGACAGUGUCUGGUGGGUAGUUUGACUGGGGCGGUCUCCUCCUAAAGAGUAACGGAGGAGCACGAAGGUUGGCUAAUCCUGGUCGGACAUCAGGAGGUUAGUGCAAUGGCAUAAGCCAGCUUGACUGCGAGCGUGACGGCGCGAGCAGGUGCGAAAGCAGGUCAUAGUGAUCCGGUGGUUCUGAAUGGAAGGGCCAUCGCUCAACGGAUAAAAGGUACUCCGGGGAUAACAGGCUGAUACCGCCCAAGAGUUCAUAUCGACGGCGGUGUUUGGCACCUCGAUGUCGGCUCAUCACAUCCUGGGGCUGAAGUAGGUCCCAAGGGUAUGGCUGUUCGCCAUUUAAAGUGGUACGCGAGCUGGGUUUAGAACGUCGUGAGACAGUUCGGUCCCUAUCUGCCGUGGGCGCUGGAGAACUGAGGGGGGCUGCUCCUAGUACGAGAGGACCGGAGUGGACGCAUCACUGGUGUUCGGGUUGUCAUGCCAAUGGCACUGCCCGGUAGCUAAAUGCGGAAGAGAUAAGUGCUGAAAGCAUCUAAGCACGAAACUUGCCCCGAGAUGAGUUCUCCCUGAGACUUAGAGUCUCCUGAAGGAACGUUGAAGACGACGACGUUGAUAGGCCGGGUGUGUAAGCGCAGCGAUGCGUUGAGCUAACCGGUACUAAUGAACCGUGAGGCUUAACCUUACAACGCCGAAG